CCAAGAACCGUGGUGAGAUCCUGAUAGACCACAUUCAAGUUCUUGUGGUUAUUGGGCCCAACUUGGCUGUUCAUCUGAAGCAACACAAAGCAAUGGUGCUUGUGCUGGAAGCUCCUCCUCCUCCUCCUUGAACAGCGGAGCUAAUUGCUAUAUCUUGAAAUGCCGAACUACUCAUUCAUCUAUUUAAGACAGGAGCAGCGGUUUCCCCUAAUGUAGACCCCCGAGCAAAGCGUAGC
This 236-nucleotide long non-coding RNA is filed under the name Hordeum vulgare. Its description in RNAcentral is "long non-coding RNA (HVUL_LNC011653)". The record is from RNAcentral. Lineage: Eukaryota; Viridiplantae; Streptophyta; Magnoliopsida; Poales; Poaceae.